AAUUCGCCCUUAGAGUUUGAUCAUGGCUCAGAUUGAACGCUGGCGGCAUGCCUUACACAUGCAAGUCGAACGGUAACGCGGGGCAACCUGGCGACGAGUGGCGAACGGGUGAGUAAUAUAUCGGAACGUGCCCAGUCGUGGGGGAUAACUGCUCGAAAGAGCAGCUAAUACCGCAUACGACCUGAGGGUGAAAGCGGGGGAUCUUCGGACCUCGCGCGAUUGGAGCGGCCGAUAUCAGAUUAGGUAGUUGGUGGGGUAAAGGCCUACCAAGCCGACGAUCUGUAGCUGGUCUGAGAGGAUGAUCAGCCACACUGGGACUGAGACACGGCCCAGACUCCUACGGGAGGCAGCAGUGGGGAAUAUUGGACAAUGGGCGCAAGCCUGAUCCAGCAAUGCCGCGUGUGUGAAGAAGGCCUGCGGGUUGUAAAGCACUUUCAGUAGGGAAGAAAAAUCUGUUGUGAAUAGCGACGGGUAUGACGUA
Molecule: ribosomal RNA, 481 nt
Filed under: uncultured bacterium
Lineage: Bacteria
Description: bacterial SSU rRNA
Rfam family: Bacterial small subunit ribosomal RNA
Source: RNAcentral